GUGGGGAAUAUUGGACAAUGGGCGCAAGCCUGAUCCAGCAAUGCCGCGUGUGUGAAGAAGGCCUUCGGGUUGUAAAGCACUUUUAUCAGGAACGAAAAGCGUUGGGUUAAUAACCUGACGUGCUGACGGUACCUGAGGAAUAAGCACCGGCUAACUUCGUGCCAGCAGCCGCGGUAAUACGAAGGGUGCAAGCGUUAAUCGGAAUUACUGGGCGUAAAGCGUGCGUAGAUGGUUUGUUAAGUCGAAUGUGAAAGCCCCGGGCUCAACCUGGGAACUGCAUCCGAAACUGGCAGACUAGAGUGUGGUAGAGGAUGGCGGAAUUCCCGGUGUAGCGGUGAAAUGCGUAGAGAUCGGGAGGAACAUCCGUGGCGAAGGCGGCCAUCUGGACCAACACUGACGUUGAGGCACGAAAGCGUGGGGAGCAAACAGGAUUAGAAACCCUGGUAGUCC
This 450-nucleotide ribosomal RNA is filed under the name uncultured bacterium. RNAcentral describes it as "bacterial SSU rRNA". It matches the Rfam family "Bacterial small subunit ribosomal RNA", at positions 354 to 796 of the family's 1533-position model. The record is from RNAcentral.